GCUUAAAAAAAAGCAGAGGGUCAGAGAGAGACAGUAAAAAGAGCUUCAUCUAAGACAUGUGGAGUUACACAAUCUUUGAUAUGUCUACAAAGAAGUACUUAUAUAUAUUGGUAAGAGGAAGGUAGGCAAUGACAUUAUAAAGCCUAUUUACCUCAUAAUUGCUUCAGCUGCCAUUGGACAGUGUAUAGCACUUGCCAAGCAUUGUGCUCAUUUCUUUAUGUGCUCACUAUUGGUCUUGCUCAGGAGCAAUACCCCAAAGGAGGUACUUUUGGUUAUCACUGAGGCAAUUGUAACUCAGAGAUGUUAACCUAGAACAAGAAGAAUGUGGCAGAUCUUGGGUUCAAAUCCAGCUUUACUCCACUCCACACCAUAAUGACUCCCUUUACCUUUUCCUAGAGAAGUCUGUUCCAAGCCUCUAUUCAGAACUGACCUUUCACGUUUUCCCCCUAUGGAGAGCCAACUGUAGUAGGAUAAUGUUUUGCAGAAUCAAGACAGAACUCCAAGUCUUCCUUGGACCCACCACUCAGGGAGAAAAAACAAGACAGACUAUGAUGCAGCAAGAAGGCCUUGCCUGAUACCACGCUUUGACCUUGAACUUCCCCCACCAGAACUAAGCUGCUAGACAAAAAUACAUCUUUACUUCACACAUGAAGUAACCGAGGCACAAAGAGUUUGGAUGACAGACAUGGAAUUCAAUUCUAGGCAGAUUAACAAGGAUCCAGAUAGAAGCAAAAUGAAACACAUGUAAGAGGCUGUGGCUUAUCACAACAAUCAGAAGCUCUAAGGUGCCCUGGAGGUAUAAGAGCUUCCAUCUUCUACAGCUGAGCAGCUGCUGGAUCUUCUGGCUCUCCAGAGUGCAGACCGCCACUGUGUAUUAUCCUGCCUCUGAUGCUGUUCUCUACAGACAGUAGGAGGGCAUUCAUGAAGAAGAAAGGAGCUCUUUCUCUGCCCCAAAGAGAAGUCUGUUGGGCCAAUGUUUCUUUGCAUUUCUAAAUCUGUGGACUUGGUUUCUCUAGGUGAGCACUGUAGGACACCUGUACUGAGAAUGGACUCCAAAAGGGGGUUUUGAAGGUGGAGCAGGAGUUGGCUGUGUGACAAACCCACGGAAAGAGGACAUCCUCUGGGCUAGAGUGAGCAGCAACAAUACCUUCCCAGAGCAAAGAGGAUGUCCUCAAGGAGCUGCUGGUAGCUCAGCACAGCUCUUGGUUCUCUGUGACAAUAAAGGAAACGUG
This is a long non-coding RNA of Heterocephalus glaber (naked mole-rat), 1232 nucleotides long. RefSeq lists it as uncharacterized. NCBI's taxonomy places the organism in Eukaryota, Metazoa, Chordata, Mammalia, Rodentia, Bathyergidae. The record is from RefSeq and is a predicted model, not a curated record.